UACGGGGGGGGCAAGCGUUGUUCGGAAUUACUGGGCGUAAAGGGCUCGUAGGCGGCCAACUAAGUCGGAUGUGAAAUCCCCAGGCUUAACCUGGGAACUGCAUCCGAUACUGGAUGGCUUGAAUCCGGGAGAGGGAUGCAGAAUUCCAGGUGUAGCAGUGAAAUGCGUGGAUAUCGUAAGGAAGACCAGUGGCGAAGGCGAAUCUCUGGACAGUUACUGACACUGAGGCACGAAGGCCAGGGGAGCAAACGGG
This 253-nucleotide ribosomal RNA is filed under the name uncultured bacterium. Its description in RNAcentral is "partial 16S ribosomal RNA". It matches the Rfam family "Bacterial small subunit ribosomal RNA", at positions 524 to 776 of the family's 1533-position model. The record is from RNAcentral.